Long non-coding RNA from Mauremys reevesii (Reeves's turtle), 439 nucleotides. RefSeq lists it as uncharacterized. The record is from RefSeq and is a predicted model, not a curated record. The transcript is spliced from 3 exons. NCBI's taxonomy places the organism in Eukaryota, Metazoa, Chordata, Testudines, Geoemydidae.
CAGCAACUGGAGCGUUGCACAGAGACCAGCAGGAGGCCGAGCUGUGCAGCACGAGCACUUGUAUGUACAAAAGCAGGAGGCAGCGAGAACUACUAACAUUAACUCCAGAGCCGAGGCUCCCCCAUCAAGCCGCAGAACAACAUGUCCGGAGGGCGGCGUGUUUGCUUGCAGCAAGUCCCCGGAAGGGUGUGACUCUCAGUUCCUGCACUUGAGGAUUGAUUUUGAAAAUAAGAUUUCUCCAAGGUGCAAAUGUUUCUACACUCCCCCUAUCAUCUCUGUCACAGAGGUUAUCGCAGAUUAGAAUGCAAAAAAAACGCAUUUGCGAUGACGUUUUCUGAGCUCAUACAAUCCUCCCGCACUGAUAGGGCACAGCUGAAUGCAUGGAGGCAUACAGUGACAGAGGCCAGGAAAGCAUACAGUGAGCGCAAUGAGCAGAGGC